RNAcentral lists this ribosomal RNA (243 nucleotides) under uncultured bacterium. RNAcentral's name for it is "partial 16S ribosomal RNA". It matches the Rfam family "Bacterial small subunit ribosomal RNA", at positions 111 to 354 of the family's 1533-position model. The record is from RNAcentral.
UAACGCGUGAGGAACCUGCCUUUCAGAGGGGGACAACAGUUGGAAACGACUGCUAAUACCGCAUAAUAUAUGUUUGUCGCAUGGCAGAUAUAUCAAAGAUUUAUCGCUGAGAGAUGGCCUCGCGUCUGAUUAGCUAGUUGGUAGGGUAACGGCCUACCAAGGCGACGAUCAGUAGCCGGACUGAGAGGUUGGCCGGCCACAUUGGGACUGAGAUACGGCCCAGACUCCUACGGGAGGCAGCAG